Molecule: ribosomal RNA, 316 nt
Filed under: uncultured bacterium
Lineage: Bacteria
Description: bacterial SSU rRNA
Rfam family: Bacterial small subunit ribosomal RNA
Source: RNAcentral
AUUGAACGCUGGCGGCAUGCCUUACACAUGCAAGUCGAACGGCAGCACGGGAGCAAUCCUGGUGGCGAGUGGCGAACGGGUGAGUAAUAUAUCGGAACGUGCCCAGUCGUGGGGAUAACGUAGCGAAAGCUACGCUAAUAUCGCAUACUAUCUAUGGAUGAAAGCGGGGGAUCGCAAGACCUCGCGCGAUUGGAGCGGCCGAUAUCAGAUUAGGUAGUUGGUGAGGUAAAGGCUCACCAAGCCGACGAUCUGUAGCUGGUCUGAGAGGACGACCAGCCACACUGGGACUGAGACACGGCCCAGACUCCUACGGGGG